RNAcentral lists this ribosomal RNA (842 nucleotides) under Karaftohelix gainesi. RNAcentral describes it as "partial 16S ribosomal RNA". The record is from RNAcentral. Lineage: Eukaryota; Metazoa; Mollusca; Gastropoda; Stylommatophora; Camaenidae.
UCACGAAAUGGUUGGAGCUAAUUAUAUAUGUGGUUAUAGACUAUACACAGUGUGUAGCAUAACACUGGAAAAAGAUAUAAUUAGGUGUGAUAGGCUUUUCAAAGACCAGGAUAUCUUGAUAGUACUUAAACGUAUGUAGUACGUAAGACAAAUAGAAAGUGUUGAGGCUCUCUAUAAUUUCAAAAUCGAUUCCGUGGACUUAUUGGUUUAAUCAUCUUUUAUCUAAAAUAAUAAUAUUAAUUUUCUAUCCAUUUGAUUUAAAUACGUGCUCCUAUAUAAAAAUUAAGGUGUAUAGUAAUAAUGUUCCCAUAAGUAUUAAUUAAGGCGUUUAUAAUGAACUCGGCAAUAAAUAUUCUCAACUGUUUACCAAAAACAUAGCUGUAUGUAAUUAUAUAUAGUUAUUUCUGCUCAAUGUAAUAUAAAUGGCCGCAGUACUCUGACUGUGCAAAGGUAGCAUAAUCAAUUGGCUUAUAAUUGAAGUCUAGUAUGAAAGAAAAUAUGGGGAUUGACUGUAUAAAAUACGUUCUUUAAAAUUACUUAAUAAGUGAAAAGACUUAUAUUUAAAUAAUAGACGAGAAGACCCUAGAAAUUUUGAGCAACUGAUGAAACGCAUGGUUUUUGUUGGGGCGACACAGUAGCAUAAUUAACCUACUAAGAUUAAUAUGAUUAUUAUAUUACGGAUAAUUAAAUUACUCUAGGGAUAACAGCAUAAUAUUAAAAAGUUUGUGACCUCGAUGUUGGACUAGGAUACUACCACCCAGAAGGUUAUUAGUAAGGCUCUGUUCGAGCAAUUUACUCCUACAUGAUCUGAGUUCAGACCGGCGUAAGCCAGGUCAGUUUCU